RNA transcript from Phragmites australis (common reed), 1619 nucleotides. It is a transcript of the gene named small glutamine-rich tetratricopeptide repeat-containing protein 2-like, with no coding region annotated. NCBI's taxonomy places the organism in Eukaryota, Viridiplantae, Streptophyta, Magnoliopsida, Poales, Poaceae. The transcript has 9 exons. The record is from RefSeq and is a predicted model, not a curated record.
UCAAGGAUGGCUGCUGGACCAAGCCACACGGCGAUGGCGGUGGCGGUGGCGGUGGCGGGAGUGACCACUACCAACCACUCCUCCAUAGCCUCCGCUCGCCGACGGCCGCCGUCUUUCCGCCGGCUUAAUCAUUCGCCGCGCGCUUCGGGGGCGGUGGAGGUGCGGGUCUGCACGAACCGCACGUGCGCGCGCCAGGGUGCACGCGAGGUCCUUGCGGCGCUCGUGGGCCUCGCGCCGCCUCGCGUUGACGUGGCCUCCUGCGGGUGCCUCGGUCGCUGCGGUGCGGGGCCCAACGUUGCCGCCUCCGUCGCCGGGAGCGCCGCGGUGUUUGGCCACGUGGGCACGGCAGCGCGCGGCGCGCAGCUCCUGGAGCACCUCCUCGGCGCAGCGGAGUUCGACGCGACCUCGGGGCUCGCUGCGCUCGCCAUGCGGGAGAAUGCGGAGGCCGCCCACGACAAGGGAAAUGCGGCCGAAGCGGAAGCUCUCUUAACUGAGGCUAUUUGUCUCAAUGCUUGUGGUGGUCUGCAUCUGGUUUACAGCAGCAGGUCCAAGGCGAGACUGACACUAGGGGAUAUCUCUGGUGCGCUUGAGGACGCUGAGGAAGCAAUAAGAAUAGCUCCAAAAUUUCCUCUGGCUAACUUAUUGCGAGGGGAUGCGCUUCUUGCAAUGGGUGAAUAUUGUGGUGCGGAGGAUGCUUAUGCAGAUGCCUUGGAUCUUGAUCCAUCUAUUCGCCGGUCCAAAUCUUUCAAGGCCCGUGUGGAAAGGCUACGGGAGAAGCUUGUCGGUGCCAGCUGUUCAUCAUAAUCCGUAGUUCAUAUUGAUACUUUUCACUUUUGGCAUCAGAAGUUCCGCCCAGCAAGUAAUGUAUAUAGGUUCCUGGUGUUCCUGGUAGAUCUGAAUUGCUCAAUGCAACAUCUGGAAGUAGUAGUUUGCUACAUUCCUUUGAGUUAGCAGUGCACAGGGGUAUAAAAUUGUCUACCUUUGCGUUAGCAGGGCUUCCAGAGUUGUAAUUAUCAAUCCAUUUGGAAAGAUGAGAAUAAGCCAAGUUUCAACUACAAGUUGCUUUGAAGAUGAUGCAAUGCAACAUUGUUAUUGACUGGCAUCAGCACCUAGCUGAUACAUUCAGCCGUUUGGAUUUCUACCAAACAGAUGUUAUCACAAUAUGCUAGGAGUGUAUGGCAAGAAAACUUAUAUGGAUAAUUUGCUGAUCUCCCUCAUUAGUAAACUCCAGUUACUUGUCAGGUUGCCGUAGUUCAAGGUUGCACAUUUCAAACUUCAGGCGUACCUUUUCUCCCGUAAGCAUCGAUUCAACUGAAAGCUCAAGUUUGUCUUCAGGUCAAAGUCGAUGGGCGAACUGACAAAGGGGGAGGUUCCGACGCCCAGGUUUCGUUCCCACCGUUUCGGAUGCGUGGCGCUAAAGCGAAGCACGCGUGGUGGUAACUGUAGCGCUACCAAACGGCUCGAGGUAAAUUUCUUGGCCGGCCCCUGGUGCCGCAAUCAGCCGUGGUUUUUGCGCGUGCCAUGGAAAAUACAACUUCACAUGCACUUGUGGACUCAUGAUGAAUUUUAUUUGUUCAUUUUAUCCAUCUAAUAUCUAUUUGGUCCAUUCAUUUCACCCA